UACGGAGGGUGCAAGCGUUAUCCGGAUUCACUGGGUUUAAAGGGUGCGUAGGUGGGUUGGUAAGUCAGUGGUGAAAUCCCCGAGCUUAACUUGGGAACUGCCAUUGAUACUAUUAAUCUUGAAUACCGUGGAGGUCGGCGGAAUAUGUCAUGUAGCGGUGAAAUGCUUAGAUAUGACAUAGAACACCAAUUGCGAAGGCAGCUGGCUACACGAGUAUUGACACUGAGGCACGAAAGCGUGGGGAUCAAACAGG
Molecule: ribosomal RNA, 253 nt
Filed under: uncultured bacterium
Lineage: Bacteria
Description: partial 16S ribosomal RNA
Rfam family: Bacterial small subunit ribosomal RNA
Source: RNAcentral